CCUACGGGAGGCUGCAGUGAGGAAUAUUGGUCAAUGGGAGGAAUCCUGAACCAGCCAUGCCGCGUGCAGGACGACGGCUCUACGAGUUGUAAACUGCUUUUGUACCGGGGUAAAAUGCGCUACGAGUAGGGUUUUGAAAGUACGGUACGAAUAAGGAUCGGCUAACUCCGUGCCAGCAGCCGCGGUAAUACGGAGGAUCCGAGCGUUAUCCAGAUUACUGGGGUUUAAAGGGGGCGUAGGGUGUUUUAUAAGUUAGCGGUGAAAUCCCGAUGCUCAACAUCGGGGCUUCCGCUGAUACGGUCGGCCUAGAGCUCGGAUGCAGCAGGCGGACUGUGUAGUGUAGCGGUGAACU
RNAcentral lists this ribosomal RNA (352 nucleotides) under uncultured bacterium. Its description in RNAcentral is "partial 16S ribosomal RNA". It matches the Rfam family "Bacterial small subunit ribosomal RNA", at positions 338 to 687 of the family's 1533-position model. The record is from RNAcentral.